RNAcentral lists this long non-coding RNA (1115 nucleotides) under Serinus canaria (Common canary). Its description in RNAcentral is "lncRNA (ENSSCAG00000016271.1)". The record is from RNAcentral. Lineage: Eukaryota; Metazoa; Chordata; Aves; Passeriformes; Fringillidae.
CCUGGAGCAGUCCCAUUCCCAUUGGAAUUGUGGCUCAGCCCUCCUGCAGUGCCAGGGCUGGUUCUGCUGGAGCAGGGAUCCUGGAGCAGUCCCAUUCCCACUGGAAUUGUGGCUCAGCCCUCCUGCAGUGCCAGGCUGGUUCUGCUGGAGCAGGAUCCUGGAGAAAGGUGCAGGCUUCCUCUGAAGGUCCAGGGGAAGAGGCAGCUGCUGCUCCUCUGGGAAAUCCAGUGCAGAAGCCGUGCUGGUGUUCCAGAAUCUCCAGAUUAUAUCCAGGUAGGAAUGCUUGGCUCCUCCCUCUGGGCUCACAUCUCCCAGUGGGAUGCUGCAGCUCUUAUCAGCCAUGCAGGGACAUUGCAUGGCUGUUAUCAGCAGGUGUCCCCUCCCCAUGGAGGAGUGGGUGUGAUCCCUCAGAGAGAGAUAAGGGGAAUUGCCCCCUUGAGCCCAGAUGGUGAUAGAACACACCCUGCCUGGCAGCCUGGCACACAGAGCUGUGCUGGGCAUCCAGGCUCCCUGCAGCCUGGGAGAGGCAGGAAUGGCCUGGUGGAACCUCCAGGCUCAAAAUCAUUCCAAGUGGAGGCUGGGCGAGGCUGGUGCUGCACAUCCCCUGGGCAGGGCACACAGCAAACAUCACCGUGGUGGGGCUUGGGCCAUGCCAGGAAUGUCCAGGUGGCAGCAAUCCCACCUGGAGAGCCCCACAGCCUCCCUGUCCUCCACAGAAAUCGCUGGCUGGGUGGGAAAACUGCCUUGGGAGCAAAGCUUGCUGCUGGCAGUCACAUCCUUGGUGACGUGCCAAGCAGCACAUCCCUCAGGAAAACCUGUGGAGUUACUGGAUCGUGGAAUCACAGAAUGAUUUGGGCUGGAAAACCUCACUGCAAUCACCUGCCAUGGGCAGGGACACCUUCCACGGCACCAGGCUGCUCCAAGCCCCGUCCAUUCUUCUCCUUCUUCAGGAAAAACACUGUAAAAACAAAAAACAACUGCAGCAGGUGGGGGGAAAGCAGCAUCAAAGAGAGUCUGGCCUGGUCCCAGCUGGAAAAGGGAGACAGAAAAGGAGGAAACAGGCCCAAUAUAAGUUCAGAAUUCGCUGUGAGCUGAGCAGCACUGAAAUGCUCAAG